CUAGAAAAACAAAGCUGCAACUCUCUCUCUCUCUCCUAUCGCCACCGCCAAGUUCCUCCAUCAGUUUCACAAGAACACAAGAUGACGACGUUUCCUUCUGAUUGAAUCAUCUACGAUCCAGAAAAUACAAUCCAUCGGAUAUGUAAACCUAUCAGGUAUUCUAAUCGGGAUUUGAGAGUAAUUAGGGUUUUCUAAAACUUGUGGCUUCUUCUCUUUCCCUUAAUCAGAAACCCUAAAUCAAUCGAUGCCGCCACCACAAUCAUUCGGUUCUUAAUCAACCUCCAAAGCCGCCAUUUCAUUUCUGUGUUGCGAUAAGAAUACCUGCUAGGUUUACGAUAACAAGUUCUCGAGGUUUGCGAUAAUACAAUUGUGAGAUCUAGGGAUUUUCUUGCUGUUUCAAAUGAAAAUGUCAAUGCAGUUGUCGGUAGAUUGAUGAAUCAUAGUCCUUGUGAGGUACUGCAAUGGAGAUGCGGUGAUGGUGAUGGAAGUUUUAAUUGUUCGGCGCGUGCAGUCGAACCAAGAACUGGCAUUGAGUUCCCACAUUUUCAAAGCAAGUAAUUCAAGUUUUAAUACAGAGGAAAUGUAUUUAGAAAUGGUGCAAUAAGAAAGGGGAUAUAACCUCUGAGAUUUGCAUUCAGGUUUGGCCUUUUUUGGUCCAGAAUUUUAAUAAUUUGGUGAAUUUUUUUAUUGAAAUGCUAUUGAAUUUGACAUGUUUCAUAUAUUUAUUCACCGGAUUACGCUCUUUCACCCGCUAGAACCAAUCCAGAUGUCAUGACUAUUGAUAUCAGGCAUGCAUGGGGCCUGCAAAUUGAUCUCUGGGAUGCUCACUUCUUGGCUUUUGCUUCUGAGAAUCAGUUUCUUGAACCGGAUUAUGAUGAUUACGGUGUAUGAAGUAAUAACAGCAUUUGCGUACCUCCGGUUUAUGGUUGGCUUUCUUUGUUUGCUGCUCACAAGAGACCUCGGGAUGCUGCCAGAAGGUUCGUAAGUCCAAGAAUAGAGGCUUGUCAUUGGAAGAGAACCCGGAGAAGAUGUUUCAAAUAUUUUAUGACUCUCAAGAUUUCUACCUUCUCAAGGAACUUGAAAAGUUGUGCCCCAGAAAAGGCGUCAUCGGUCAAUCUUUUAAAGACGUUGUUCAAAGUCUGGUGGAUGAUGACCUGGUCUCGAAAGACAAAAUUGGAACCUCGGUAUACUUUGGAGUCUUUCCCAGUUAGGGCAACUGUUUGUGAAAUUUGCAUUGAUAUAGAAGGUGUGAUCUACUUUUUAUUAUGUCUUCAACCAAUUGGAAGCAAUGCUCCUGCUGGAAACGACUCUGCCCUACGUAAAGCAGAGGAUGUUGUAACCAGCAUGUUCGCAAAGGGUUUCGUGUAGACGCGGCUAGGUUUCUUCCAAUUAGAGCAAUGACGUUUAAUGAGCUGUCAAGGGGCCGAGUAUCAGCUUCGUUAAAGCUCUUCAGGUUUGAUUUCAGUUUAGGUUAAUUUGAUAUGUGUUUGCCUGUGGUUAUCGCGUGGCUAUUUUUAUUCAGAACACCCUUUAAUUUAAAUGAUACAUGUUGCUGGCUUCUCUAUUGUUUCAUGAUGCGUUAAAUUUUUUUUGUGGGAAAGUGGUUUGAUUUCAUUUCUCUAGGGUUCUUAACUAAUAUUAUUCAUGUUUUAACUUUUUUUUUUAUUUAAAGCGGGCUGAAGGGGCUCGAAUUGUUGUUAACAAGAUUCCAGGUAUAUAUGUUCGUCAUUGCUAUUUGCCUGAUGGUUCCAUUCAGGCAGGACAUCUUACAUUUCUAGGUGAUUGCUAAUGUGUCGUUCGGAGGGGAUGGGUAAUGGGUCAAAAUGGAUAGAGUUUUGGAAGAUGCACAUGUUUGGUCAUGGGUCAAAGUAUAUUUGGCUUAAAAUAAGUAAUAUUUUAGCACGCGUACACACUAGGUUGGGUUUGGUUGAUCCACAUGAUCCAAGGAAUGAGGGUGAUUUAAUUUCUAUAGUUCAUGACUGUAAAUCUGAGUUUUAUCAUCUAUUCUAAUUUUGAGGGUUUUAAACUUGCUUAUCUUGUGGGUUGAAUUAUGUAUAAUGAAAAAAAUGAUGUUGAAAAAUGAGAUUUCAUUGCUGUAAAAUGGUGGUUAAAGUGCUGAAAAGUGUGCUAUAAACAGAUGAUGAUAUUGUUGGUUGAUCAAAGCAACGUUUUGUGUUUACUAAUGAUUUUGGAUAUGUACACACUUUUAAUAGUUAUGAUUUGACUCAUGCGAAUUAUGUCUAUGCGGAUUUUUUUUCUUUUUUUAACUAAAGAAACCGAGGUUUGACGGGCUCCAACUUUUUCACUCAUUUCUCAUAUAAAUUUCACUUGACCUUAAAAGAAAGUUUUUUUAUGUGAUUUGCAGGUAAGAUUUGUUUGUUCGGAACCUAGAGUGAUGAUUAGUUCUAUAACUGAAUUAUAAUUGUGAAACUAAAGAGGGAAACGGGAGUAACGAGUCGUUUCCUGAACAAGUUGAGGAACGCGUUGAAGAAAGCAACGAUCUUGAUGCUUUUAAGAUGUUUAAGAUUUCAAAGGCAGAUGUUUUCAAGUAUCCAGACACAGUAUGUAAUUAUUCAAUCAAAUAAGAUUGAUAAAUUGAUGAAAAAGGAAGUCAAUCAUUUACGUGUAAUCAUUAAAGCUCUAUGUUAAGCAUAAAUAGUGUAUGAUGAUAUGAUUCGAGUUAUUAAAGAUUGCAGGUUUUUUCAUCACUACUUUGGUGGGGUGGUAGAGGUUUUGUGCCUCUUGGGGAGAAAUCACGGUUCAAUUCCUGGUAUGGGGUAAAACGUGGUGUAAUUUAGAAGUAGUGUUAUGUAACCUUUGCCGU
This is a long non-coding RNA of Helianthus annuus (common sunflower), 2824 nucleotides long. RefSeq lists it as uncharacterized. The transcript has 10 exons. NCBI's taxonomy places the organism in Eukaryota, Viridiplantae, Streptophyta, Magnoliopsida, Asterales, Asteraceae. The record is from RefSeq and is a predicted model, not a curated record.